AGAGUUUGAUCAUGGCUCAGGACGAACGCUGGCGGCGCGCUUAACACAUGCAAGUCGCGCGGUACCGAUGGCAAGUCUUCUUGACGAGCCUUCGGUAUAGCGGCGGACGGGUGAGUAACACGUGAGUAGCUGUCCUAGGGAGGGGGAUAACGCCUGGAAACGGGUGCUAAAACCCCAUAAGCCUCGAAAGAGGUAAAAGUGCAUCACUGCAGUCCUAGGGUGUGCUCGCGGCCUAUCAGCUAGUUGGUGAGGUAAGGGCUCACCAAGGCCAAGACGGGUAGCCGGCCUGAGAGGGUGUACGGCCACACUGGAAUUGAGAUACGGUCCAGACUCCUACGGGAGGCAGCAGUGGGGAAUUUUGGGCAAUGGGCGAAAGCCUGACCCAGCGACGCCGCGUUGGGGAUGAAGUCCUUCGGGGCGUAAACCCAUGUUGUAGGGGAAGAAGAAAGUGACGGUACCCUACGAGAAAGCCCCGGCCAACUACGUGCCAGCAGCCGCGGUAAAACGUAGGGGGCGAGCGUUGUCCGGAAUUACUGGGCGUAAAGGGCAUGCAGGCGGUGCGCCAAGUCGGGGGUGUAAAGUUACGGCUCAACCGUGACCUUGCAAUCGAAACUGGCGCACUGGAGUGCGGGAGAGGGAAGUGGAAUUCCCGGUGUAGCGGUGAAAUGCGUAGAUAUCGGGAGGAACGCCAGUGGCGAAGGCGGCUUCCUGGCCCGCGACUGACGCUCAUGUGCGAAAGCCAGGGGAGCGAACCGGAUUAGAUACCCGGGUAGUCCUGGCCGUAAACGAUGGGUGCUAGGUGUAGGCGCGUCAAGCGUCUGUGCCGAAGUUAACGCGAUAAGCACCUCGCCUGGGGAGUACGGUCGCAAGGCUGAACUCAAGGAAUUGACGGGGGCCCGCACAAGCGGUGGAGCACGUGGUUUAAUUCGAUGCAACCGAAGAACCUUACCUGGGUUGACAUGC
RNAcentral lists this ribosomal RNA (963 nucleotides) under uncultured bacterium. RNAcentral describes it as "bacterial SSU rRNA". It matches the Rfam family "Bacterial small subunit ribosomal RNA", at positions 8 to 989 of the family's 1533-position model. The record is from RNAcentral.